UACGUAGGGUGCGAGCGUUAAUCGGAAUUACUGGGCGUAAAGCGUGCGCAGGCGGCUUGCCAAGUCAGAUGUGAAAGCCCCGGGCUUAACCUGGGAAUGGCGUUUGAAACUGGCAGGCUAGAGUUUGGCAGAGGGGGGUGGAAUUCCACGUGUAGCAGUGAAAUGCGUAGAGAUGUGGAGGAACACCGAUGGCGAAGGCAGCCCCCUGGGCCAAAACUGACGCUCAGGCACGAAAGCGUGGGGAGCAAACAGG
Molecule: ribosomal RNA, 253 nt
Filed under: uncultured bacterium
Lineage: Bacteria
Description: partial 16S ribosomal RNA
Rfam family: Bacterial small subunit ribosomal RNA
Source: RNAcentral